Molecule: long non-coding RNA, 451 nt
Filed under: Numida meleagris (helmeted guineafowl)
Lineage: Eukaryota; Metazoa; Chordata; Aves; Galliformes; Numididae
Description: lncRNA (ENSNMEG00000021548.1)
Source: RNAcentral
UCUCCCAGUGAGGUGCUCCUGUUGGCUCUGCUUCUCAGUUUUGUUGUGUCACAGUAUGUUGGGAAGGGUCUUUGGUGUGUUCUGUUCUGCUGUGUGCGGAGAACUCUGGAAACUGUGGAGCGUGCUACUGAAAUACCCAUGGCAGUUCUGUAUCUCCGUUCUCACAAGUGCAUCAGAGUUCAUAUAGUAUUCAGCCAGUAUUUUCUGUAUGUUUGUUGAGCAACCCUAUUUGGAAAACAGAGCAUUAAAAAUGCAAAAAAAAUCCUUCAAAAAGCCAUUUGUGGGUAAAGUGACUUGCAAUUGCUUGCUGGAUUUACAGAAUUAUUGACUCUCUGUAAUGGUGCAGCGUCAGUCCAGUCAAAGUGUUUUGGCUGUGUGCUUGCUGCCAGGACUACUUGAUCAAGGGCUGCAUGAAAGAGAACAGUUCUGUAAUAUUUCUGAAAACAAAUAU